RNAcentral lists this ribosomal RNA (945 nucleotides) under uncultured archaeon. RNAcentral describes it as "bacterial SSU rRNA". It matches the Rfam family "Archaeal small subunit ribosomal RNA", at positions 1 to 940 of the family's 1478-position model. The record is from RNAcentral.
GAAUUCACUAGUGAUUUCUGGUUGAUCCUGCCAGACCCGACUGCUAUCAGAGUGGGACUAAGCCAUGCGAGUCAACGUAGCAAUGCGUGGCGAACGGCUCAGUAACACGUAGUCAACAUGCCCAGGGGACGUGGAUAACCUCGGGAAACUGAGAUUAAACCGCGAUAGGUCAAGAUUUCUGGAAUGGAUCGUGUCUUAAAUCUACAUGGCCCCUGGAUUGGACUGCGGCCGAUCAGGCUGUUGGUGAGGUAAUGGCCCACCAAACCUAUAACCGGUACGGGCUCUGAGAGGAGAAGCCCGGAGAUGGGCACUGAGACAAGGGCCCAGGCCCUAUGGGGCGCAGCAGGCGCGAAACCUCUGCAAUGGGCGAAAGCCUGACAGGGUUACUCUGAGUGAUUUCCGCUAAGGAGAUCUUUUGGCAGCUCUAAAAAUGGUGCAGAAUAAGGGGUGGGCAAGUCUGGUGUCAGCCGCCGCGGUAAUACCAGCACCCCGAGUGGUCGGGACGAUUAUUGGGCCUAAAGCAUCCGUAGCCGGUUGUGCAAGUCCUCCGUUAAAUCCAGCCGCUCGACGGAUGGGCUGCGGAGGAUACUACAGGACUAGGAGGCGGGAGAGGCAUGCGGUACUUAGUGGGUAGGGGUAAAAUCCUUUGAUCCAUUGAAGACCACCAGUGGCGAAGGCGGCUUGCCAGAACGCGCUCGACGGUGAGGGAUGAAAGCUGGGGGAGCAAACCGGAUUAGAUACCCGGGUAGUCCCAGCUGUAAACGAUGCAGACUCGGUGAUGGGCUAGCCUCGUGUCAGCCCAGUGCCGCAGGGAAGCCGUUAAGUCUGCCGCCUGGGGAGUACGGUCGCAAGACUCAAACUUAAAGGAAUUGGCGGGGGAGCACCACAAGGGGUGAAGCCUGCGGUUCAAUUGGACUCAACGCCGGGAAUCGAAUUCCCGCGGCC